Manduca sexta (tobacco hornworm) is the source of this 329-nucleotide long non-coding RNA. RefSeq lists it as uncharacterized. NCBI's taxonomy places the organism in Eukaryota, Metazoa, Arthropoda, Insecta, Lepidoptera, Sphingidae. The record is from RefSeq and is a predicted model, not a curated record. The transcript is spliced from 3 exons.
CCCUUACAACCAGCCGUACGCAGCGUACCCGCCGGCACACAACACCACCAAUAGAUCCUCGUGUAAGGCGACGCCGACGUAUCUUAGCGCGUAUGGCGUGAGCGGCGUAGGAAGCGUGCCCAGCACUGGGUUUGGAACCCAACCAUCGCCCUAUGCCUACUCGUCAUACAAUGGAAGCCUGGCUCAAUCGUUUCCUACUACCCAACAGGACUACAGCAGCUACGCAGCAGGUUACGCGGAGCACAAUGUCGCACAAUACAGCGGAUAUUACGCUGCACCAAGCUACUCUCCUUACGUCAGCUCGCCUAGUAGCAGCGGCAGUGCUGGAC